This 481-nucleotide ribosomal RNA is filed under the name uncultured bacterium. Its description in RNAcentral is "partial 16S ribosomal RNA". It matches the Rfam family "Bacterial small subunit ribosomal RNA", at positions 28 to 507 of the family's 1533-position model. The record is from RNAcentral.
GACGAACGUUGGCGGCGUGCUUAAUACAUGCAAGUCGACUGAAGCAGUGGUAGCAAUCUCGCUGUGGAGGUGGCGCACGGGGGAGUAACACGUAGGUAAUCUGCCUUCAGGUCUGGCAUAACUCCGGGAAACCGGGGCUAAUAGCAGAGGAUGCAUCGGCCCGACAUGGAGACAGUUGUUAAAGCUAUGUCGCCUGAAGAUGAGCCUGCGUCUGAUUAGCUAGUUGGCGGGGUAACGGCCCACCAAGGAAACGAUCAGGAGCUGGUAUGUGGGGAGGAUCAGCCACACUGCAACUGAGACACGGUCCAGACUCCGACGGGAGGCAGCAGUAAGGAAUAUGGCUCAAUGGGUGAACUCCUGAAGCAGCACCGCCGUGUGAGGGCCGAGGGGCUUUUGCUUGUAAACCUGUGUAGUGAGGGAAACAACUCCCGAUCUUUGGGACAUGACGGUAUCUCAAGAGUAAGCCCCGGCUAACUACGUG